Molecule: transfer-messenger RNA, 371 nt
Filed under: Bacteroidia bacterium
Lineage: Bacteria; Pseudomonadati; Bacteroidota; Bacteroidia
Rfam family: transfer-messenger RNA
About the family: Bacterial tmRNA, also known as 10Sa RNA or SsrA, is named for its dual tRNA and mRNA-like properties. Its role is to liberate the mRNA from a stalled ribosome.
Source: RNAcentral
GGGGCUGACUGGAAUUGACAGGAGGUCAUGUUUAAGGGGUAAGCAUGUAGCGCUUUGAUUUCCAUGCGCUUAAAUAUCGGAAUUCAAAACACAACUGGCGAUAACAAUUUCGCAAUGGCAGCCUAAUCUUAUAGAUUACGCAUACCGUGCACUCCCACCGAGUUAGCUCUAUUGGUAGGUGAUCAGAGUGCUCAACCACAAAUGAGUAUCCGUUGCAAAUGUCUACUAUGCUUUGGAUUAUUAGUAGGAUAAGGGAAGGAAUAGGAUUGUAAAGCUCCUUACCUCCUUCGAAAAUUAAGCUUAACUAAACAUGUAGAAGGCUUCAUUGGACGCUUCGCUGGACCGGGGUUCGACUCCCCGCAGCUCCACUU